RNAcentral lists this ribosomal RNA (491 nucleotides) under uncultured bacterium. RNAcentral describes it as "bacterial SSU rRNA". It matches the Rfam family "Bacterial small subunit ribosomal RNA", at positions 30 to 523 of the family's 1533-position model. The record is from RNAcentral.
AGUGAACGCUGGCGGCAGGCCUAACACAUGCAAGUCGAGCGGCAGCGGGUCCCCGCGAGGGGAUGCCGGCGAGCGGCGGACGGGUGAGGAACACAUCGGAAUCUGCCUGGUUGUGGGGGAUAACGUAGGGAAACUUACGCUAAUACCGCAUGAGACCCUGAGUCGACGGACUGGGGGUGAAAGUGAGGGACCUUCGGGCCUCACGCGACCAGAUGAGCCGAUGUCGGAUUAGCUAGUUGGCGGGGUAACGGCCCGCCAAGGCGACGAUCCGUAGCUGGUCUGAGAGGAUGAUCAGCCACACUGGGACUGAGACACGGCCCAGACUCCUACGGGAGGCAGCAGUGGGAAUCUUGGACAAUGGGCGCAAGCCUGAUCCAGCCAUGCCGCGUGGGUGAUGAAGGCCUUAGGGUUGUAAAGCUCUUUUACCCGGGAAGAUAACGACGGUACCGGGAGAAUAAGCCCGGCUAACUUCGUGCCAGCAGCCGCCGUAA